This 380-nucleotide RNase P RNA is filed under the name uncultured Porticoccus sp. Its description in RNAcentral is "Bacterial RNase P class A". It matches the Rfam family "Bacterial RNase P class A". Rfam says of the family: Ribonuclease P (RNase P) is a ubiquitous endoribonuclease, found in archaea, bacteria and eukarya as well as chloroplasts and mitochondria. Its best characterised activity is the generation of mature 5'-ends of tRNAs by cleaving the 5'-leader elements of precursor-tRNAs. Cellular RNase Ps are ribonucleoproteins. Lineage: Bacteria; Pseudomonadati; Pseudomonadota; Gammaproteobacteria; Cellvibrionales; Porticoccaceae. The record is from RNAcentral.
GAGUUGGUUGGGCAACCGCCGCUGUUUUUUCUUGAUAUUUCCCUAGGUGAUAUCAGGUUAUCAGGGGAGGAAAGUCCGGGCUCCAUAGGGCAGAGUGCCAGGUAACACCUGGGAGGCGCGAGUCUACGGAAAGUGCAGCAGAAAAUAUACCGCCGAUGGUCAAUAAUUUUGAUACAGGUAAGGGUGAAAUGGUGCGGUAAGAGCGCACCGCGCAACUGGCAACAGCUUGUGGCAUUGUAAACCCCGCUCGGAGCAAGACCAAAUAGGAAUCCUUUGGCGCGGCCCGCGUCGGAUUCGGGUAGGUUGCUUGAGGCCCGUGGUGACACGUGCCCUAGAGGAAUGGUUGCUCAAGACAGAACCCGGCUUAUAGACUGACUCUA